This 502-nucleotide ribosomal RNA is filed under the name uncultured bacterium. RNAcentral describes it as "partial 16S ribosomal RNA". It matches the Rfam family "Bacterial small subunit ribosomal RNA", at positions 30 to 523 of the family's 1533-position model. The record is from RNAcentral.
AUUGAACGCUGGCGGAAUGCUUUACACAUGCAAGUCGAACGGCAGCGCGGGUGCUUGCACCUGGCGGCGAGUGGCGAACGGGUGAGUAACAUAUCGGAACGUGCCCAGUAAUGGGGGAUAACUAACCGAAAGGUUAGCUAAUACCGCAUACGCCCUGAGGGGGAAAGCGGGGGAUCGAAAGACCUCGCGUUAUUGGAGCGGCCGAUAUCUGAUUAGCUAGUUGGUGGGGUAAAGGCCCACGAAGGCGACGAUCAGUAGCUGGUCUGAGAGGAUGAUCAGCCACACUGGGACUGAGACACGGCCCAGACUCCUACGGGAGGCAGCAGUGGGGAAUUUUGGACAAUGGGGGAAACCCUGAUCCAGCCAUUCCGCGUGAGUGAAGAAGGCCUUCGGGUUGUAAAGCUCUUUCGGCAGGAACGAAACGCUCUAGAUUAAUACUCUGGGGUAAUGACGGUACCUGAAGAAGAAGCACCGGCUAACUACGUGCCAGCAGCCGCAGUAA